AACGCUAGCUACAGGCUUAACACAUGCAAGUCGAGGGGUAGCACGGAGGAAGCUUGCUUCCUUGGGUGACGACCGGCGCACGGGUGAGUAACGCGUAUCCGACCUACCCAUAACUCGGGCACAGCCGCUCGAAAGAGUGAUUGAUUCCCGAUAUGUCAUUAGAGUAGAUUUAAUGAUGAAAGAUUUAUCGGUUAUGGAUGGGGAUGCGUAAGAUCAGGUAGUAGGCGGGGUAACGGCCCACCUAGCCGACGAUCUUUAGGGGUUCUGAGAGGAAGGUCCCCCACACUGGUACUGAGACACGGACCAGACUCCUACGGGAGGCAGCAGUGAGGAAUAUUGGUCAAUGGGCGGAAGCCUGAACCAGCCAAGUAGCGUGAAGGAUUACAGCCCUACGGGUUUUAAACUUCUUUUAUAUAAGAGUAAUGUGCACUACGUGUAGCGUAUUGCAAGUAUUAUAUGAAUAAGCAUCGGCUAACUCCGUGCCAGCAGCCGCGGUAAUACGGAGGAUGCGAGCGUUAUCCGGAUUUAUUGGGUUUAAAGGGAGCGUAGGCGGGAUAUUAAGUCAGUCGUCAAAGCCUGUGGCUCAACCACAGCCCGCGAUUGAUACUGGUAACCUUGAGUGCGGAUGAGGUGGAUGGAAUUCGUGGUGUAGCGGUGAAAUGCUUAGAUAUCACGAAGAACUCCGAUUG
Molecule: ribosomal RNA, 689 nt
Filed under: uncultured bacterium
Lineage: Bacteria
Description: bacterial SSU rRNA
Rfam family: Bacterial small subunit ribosomal RNA
Source: RNAcentral